RNAcentral lists this ribosomal RNA (484 nucleotides) under uncultured bacterium. RNAcentral's name for it is "partial 16S ribosomal RNA". It matches the Rfam family "Bacterial small subunit ribosomal RNA", at positions 30 to 507 of the family's 1533-position model. The record is from RNAcentral.
AUUGAACGCUGGCGGCAGGCCUAACACAUGCAAGUCGAGCGGAUGAAGGGAGCUUGCUUCUGGAUUCAGCGGCGGACGGGGGAGUAAUGCCUAGGAAUCUGCUUGGCAGUGGGGGAUAACGUCUGGAAACGGGCGCUAAUACUGCCUACUACGUGAGGCAGCAAGAGGGGGAUCUUCGGACCUCACGCUAUCAGAUGAGCCUAGGCCGGAUUAGCUAGUUGGUGGGGUAAAGGCCUACUAAGCCGACGAUCCGUAACUGGACUGAGAGGAUGAUCAGUCACACUGGAGCUGGGACACGGACCAGGCUCCUGCGGGACGCAGCAGUCGGGAAUAGUAGGCAGUAGUCGGAAGCAUUGUCCAACCGGGGCGCGUGUGAGGAAGAAGUCUUCCGAUUGUAAAGCACGUUUAGGUGGUAUGAAGGGCAGUAAGUUAAUACCUAGCUGGUUUGACGUUACCAACAAAAUAAGCACCGGCUAACUUCGUG